GUAUAUUUUAGAUCAAUAAGGGUGAAAUUUGCAUUUAUUCUCCAUUAGUUUGAAUAAAGCACUCUUUAGGUGGCCAAACAACUAGGAUUAGAUACCCUAUUAGUUCAUUUGUAAUUAACCUGGGUAGUAUUAUUUAAACCUAAAGAAUUUGGCGGUUUCUAAACUUACUAGAGGAACCUGCCCCAUAAACGACAAUCCACGAGACAACCGACCCGUUCUUGUAAAACAGCUUAUAUACCGUCGUUUAGGGGAUUAAAUAAAUAACUGCUCUUAAUUGCUUAGGCCAAUAAAUCAGAUCAAGGUGUAGCUUAUGUCCGGGAGAGGGUGGGUUACAAUAAGAACUUAAACGGAACUUUCAUUUUAUCAUGGAGAAGAAGGUGGAUUUAGAAGUAAGGCCUAUCAACCUGAAGGAGGCUCUGAGAAAUGUACACAUCGCCCGUCGCUCUCUUGUCCGAAGAGAUAAGUCGUAACAAAGUAGGUAUACCGGAAGGUGUAUCUUGAAAGA
Molecule: ribosomal RNA, 505 nt
Filed under: Artemia franciscana
Lineage: Eukaryota; Metazoa; Arthropoda; Branchiopoda; Anostraca; Artemiidae
Description: partial 12S ribosomal RNA
Source: RNAcentral